Molecule: RNase P RNA, 341 nt
Filed under: Candidatus Poribacteria bacterium
Lineage: Bacteria; Candidatus Poribacteria
Description: RNase P RNA component class A
Rfam family: Bacterial RNase P class A
About the family: Ribonuclease P (RNase P) is a ubiquitous endoribonuclease, found in archaea, bacteria and eukarya as well as chloroplasts and mitochondria.
Source: RNAcentral
UGAGUUGAGUAGAUGGUCGCGUCUCAAAAUGAGAUGAGGAAAGUCCGGACUCCGCAGGACAGGAUGCUGGGUAAUCCCCAGGAGCGGCAACGUUAUGGAAAGUGCAACAGAAAGUAGACUACAACGUCCAACGUUGUACAGGUGAAACGGUGCGGUAAAAGCGCACCAGUCCAUAAGGUGACUUAUGGGGCUCGGUAAACCCCAUCUGGAGCAAGGUAAAAAUGGAGACAUUUAAAGGUGUGUCCGCCUCGUCUCCGGGUAACCGCUUGAGGUUAAUGGCAACAUUGGUCCCAGAUGAAUGAUCAUCAUAUACAGAAUCCGGCUUAUUCUCAACUCAAGUU